This 72-nucleotide transfer RNA is filed under the name Sphaerodactylus townsendi. RNAcentral's name for it is "tRNA-Ala". It matches the Rfam family "tRNA". From Rfam's summary of the family: Transfer RNA (tRNA) molecules are approximately 80 nucleotides in length. Their secondary structure includes four short double-helical elements and three loops (D, anti-codon, and T loops). Lineage: Eukaryota; Metazoa; Chordata; Lepidosauria; Squamata; Sphaerodactylidae. The record is from RNAcentral.
GGAGCUGUGGCUCAGUCAAUGGGCAUCUGCUUUGCAUGCGGAAGGUGCCAGGUUCAAUUCCUAGCACCUCCA